Aegilops tauschii subsp. strangulata is the source of this 692-nucleotide long non-coding RNA. RefSeq lists it as uncharacterized. The record is from RefSeq and is a predicted model, not a curated record. Lineage: Eukaryota; Viridiplantae; Streptophyta; Magnoliopsida; Poales; Poaceae.
UGACUGUAUUUUUUAUUUGUCAUUUUCUAAAGUUUUAUGAACACUUCUGUUUUUCUGUCGAGCACUAAUAGAGAGAAAACUGUUUUCUUAUUUUUAACAGGGAACAAACUGCGUAGCAAGAUCAAUAAUGAAUGGUUCAAGUCAUGUGUUACAAGUUACAAUGAGCAGGUGGUACUCAAGUCCGUUGAUGAUAAGGAUAUUAUUCGAACAUUUACUGCAAUGAGGUCUCGGAAAGGGCAUUUGCCUCGUGAUUGUCUUUAGUGCGCUGUCGGUAUUCGGCAUGCCAGCGCCUUCGUCGACCUCCACUCGCCAAUCUGUAACGCCUAUGCCCGUGGUGGCGGGUCACACUCUGAUGCAGCCGUGCACGCCGCCGCUACCAGACGACACCCCCAUCGAGUAAUACACCCCAGUCGAGAUUUUCUAUAUCAUCUCUGCCAAGGCGCAGUUAUCGGAAGAGAUUCAGGCGGCAUUGCUGGCGGCCGAAGGGGUGCUUGUGGAAGCAGGUGGAAUAGUCGGCAGCUGUGGGGAUUCAUUAUUCUCCGAGGUUGGCGGGCUCGACGCCAGGCUCGAUGGGGCUGCGGGAUUGUCAAGCAGGCGGGUGAUUGCUCAACGAUGACUGGAGACGAUCUUCGGUAUUACAACUGCUUUAUACCAAUGGGUUAUUUGCAUCUCAAGUUAAAUUAGUCACUGUU